GACGGGGGAUGCAAGCGUUAUCCGGAAUCACUGGUCGUAAAGCGUCUGUAGGUGGUGAUGCAAGUCACUGGUGCAAAACUCUGGCUCAACCGGAGGAAAGCCAGUGAAACUGCAUGACUAGAGUGUGGGAGAGGUAGAAGGAAUUCCCUGAGUAGCGGUGAAAUGCGUAGAUACAGGGAAGAACACCGGAGGCGAAAGCGUUCUACUGGAACACAACUGACACUGAGAGACGAAAGCUAGGCGAGCUAAUGGG
Molecule: ribosomal RNA, 253 nt
Filed under: uncultured bacterium
Lineage: Bacteria
Description: partial 16S ribosomal RNA
Rfam family: Bacterial small subunit ribosomal RNA
Source: RNAcentral